RNAcentral lists this ribosomal RNA (281 nucleotides) under uncultured Actinomycetales bacterium. Its description in RNAcentral is "partial 16S ribosomal RNA". It matches the Rfam family "Bacterial small subunit ribosomal RNA", at positions 505 to 785 of the family's 1533-position model. The record is from RNAcentral. Lineage: Bacteria; Bacillati; Actinomycetota; Actinomycetes; Actinomycetales.
GUGCCAGCAGCCGCGGUAAUACGUAGGGCGCAAGCGUUGUCCGGAAUUAUUGGGCGUAAAGAGCUCGUAGGCGGUUUGUCGCGUCUGCUGUGAAAACGCAAGGCUUAACUUUGCGCCUGCAGUGGGUACGGGCAGACUAGAGUGCGGUAGGGGAGACUGGAAUUCCUGGUGUAGGGGUGGAAUGCGCAGAUAUCAGGAGGAACACCGAUGGCGAAGGCAGGUCUCUGGGCCGUUACUGACGCUGAGGAGCGAAAGCAUGGGGAGCGAACAGGAUUAGAUAC